AUUGAACGCUGGCGGCAGGCCUAACACAUGCAAGUCGAGCGGAUGAAGGGAGCUUGCUCCUGGAUUCAGCGGCGGACGGGUGAGUAAUGCCUAGGAAUCUGCCUGGUAGUGGGGGAUAACGUCCGGAAACGGGCGCUAAUACCGCAUACGUCCUGAGGGAGAAAGUGGGGGAGCUUCGGACCUCUCGCUAUCAGAUGAGCCUAGGUCGGAUUAGCUAGUUGGUGGGGUAAAGGCCUACCAAGGCGACGAUCCGUAACUGGUCUGAGAGGAUGAUCAGUCACACUGGAACUGAGACACGGUCCAGACUCCUACGGGAGGCAGCAGUGGGGAAUAUUGGACAAUGGGCGAAAGCCUGAUCCAGCCAUGCCGCGUGUGUGAAGAAGGUCUUCGGAUUGUAAAGCACUUUAAGUUGGGAGGAAGGGCAGUAAGUUAAUACCUCGCUGUUUUGACGUUACCAACAGAAUAAGCACCGGCUAACUUCGUG
RNAcentral lists this ribosomal RNA (484 nucleotides) under uncultured bacterium. Its description in RNAcentral is "partial 16S ribosomal RNA". It matches the Rfam family "Bacterial small subunit ribosomal RNA", at positions 30 to 507 of the family's 1533-position model. The record is from RNAcentral.